AGUGAACGCUGGCGGUAGGCCUAGCACAUGCAAGUCGAACGGCAGCACAGUAAGAGCUUGCUCUUACGGGUGGCGAGUGGCGGACGGGUGAGGAAUACAUCGGAAUCUACUUUUUCGUGGGGGAUAACGUAGGGAAACUUACGCUAAUACCGCAUACGACCUACGGGUGAAAGCAGGGGAUCUUCGGACCUUGCGCGAUUGAAUGAGCCGAUGUCGGAUUAGCUAGUUGGCGGGGUAAAGGCCCACCAAGGCGACGAUCCGUAGCUGGUCUGAGAGGAUGAUCAGCCACACUGGAACUGAGACACGGUCCAGACUCCUACGGGAGGCAGCAGUGGGGAAUAUUGGACAAUGGGCGCAAGCCUGAUCCAGCCAUACCGCGUGGGUGAAGAAGGCCUUCGGGUUGUAAAGCCCUUUUGUCGGGAAAGAAAAGCAGCAGGUUAAUACCCCGCUGUUCUGACGGUACCCAAAGAAUAAGCACCGGCUAACUUCGUG
Molecule: ribosomal RNA, 492 nt
Filed under: uncultured bacterium
Lineage: Bacteria
Description: partial 16S ribosomal RNA
Rfam family: Bacterial small subunit ribosomal RNA
Source: RNAcentral